Long non-coding RNA from Rhinopithecus roxellana (golden snub-nosed monkey), 446 nucleotides. RefSeq lists it as uncharacterized. The record is from RefSeq and is a predicted model, not a curated record. Lineage: Eukaryota; Metazoa; Chordata; Mammalia; Primates; Cercopithecidae. The transcript has 3 exons.
CCACCAUGUAAGAAGUGCCUUUCGCCUCCUGCCAUUAUUCUGAGGCCUCCCCAGCCAUGUAGAACUGUUGUCGCUGCCCUCAACCUCCAGAUGCAGCCCCCUGCCACCUUCAGGACCCCUGGCUGUCCCUUUGACUCAGUAGCAAAAGGGUUUAGGUGCUCGGAGGGAGUCCUUCAGGAAUCUGUGCAUAGAAUGCCAUGGUGCAGAGGAAAGUCUUCUUUCUGAAACCAGCCCAACUUUUCUCCCAGAGAGUAUCAUGGAACUGAACUUUCAAGAUCAUGGCAUCUGGACAUCGAGACAACAGAACCCUCAUCCGGCCACCUGCUGCUUGCUGGCCAAUUCCCAUAUAAACCGCUAACUUCAGUCAGUUGGAGAGAUGGAUUUAAGAUUUGCCUUCUGUCUCACAGCUGAUGUCACCAGCAAUAAAGCCUUCUUCCCUGGCAAUA